RNAcentral lists this ribosomal RNA (375 nucleotides) under uncultured organism. Its description in RNAcentral is "partial 16S ribosomal RNA". It matches the Rfam family "Bacterial small subunit ribosomal RNA", at positions 527 to 896 of the family's 1533-position model. The record is from RNAcentral.
GUAGGUGGCAAGCGUUGUCCGGAAUUAUUGGGCGUAAAGCGCGCGCAGGCGGUCCUUUAAGUCCGAUGUGAAAGCCCGCGGCUCAACCGUGGAGGGUCAUUGGAAACUGGGGGACUUGAGUACAGAAGAGGAAAGCGGAAUUCCAAGUGUAGCGGUGAAAUGCGUAGAGAUUUGGAGGAACACCAGUGGCGAAGGCGGCUUUCUGGUCUGUAACUGACGCUGAGGCGCGAAAGCGUGGGGAGCAAACAGGAUUAGAUACCCUGGUAGUCCACGCCGUAAACGAUGAGUGCUAAGUGUUAGGGGGGUUUCCCGCCCCCCUUAGUGCUGCAGCUAACGCAUUAAGCACUCCGCCUGGGGAGUACGGCCGCAAGGCUG